RNAcentral lists this ribosomal RNA (384 nucleotides) under uncultured Staphylococcus sp. RNAcentral's name for it is "bacterial SSU rRNA". It matches the Rfam family "Bacterial small subunit ribosomal RNA", at positions 73 to 449 of the family's 1533-position model. Lineage: Bacteria; Bacillati; Bacillota; Bacilli; Caryophanales; Staphylococcaceae. The record is from RNAcentral.
GAGGAGCUUGCUCCUCUGACGUUAGCGGCGGACGGGUGAGUAACACGUGGAUAACCUACCUAUAAGACUGGGAUAACUUCGGGAAACCGGAGCUAAUACCGGAUAAUAUAUUGAACCGCAUGGUUCAAUAGUGAAAGACGGUUUUGCUGUCACUUAUAGAUGGAUCCGCGCCGCAUUAGCUAGUUGGUAAGGUAACGGCUUACCAAGGCAACGAUGCGUAGCCGACCUGAGAGGGUGAUCGGCCACACUGGAACUGAGACACGGUCCAGACUCCUACGGGAGGCAGCAGUAGGGAAUCUUCCGCAAUGGGCGAAAGCCUGACGGAGCAACGCCGCGUGAGUGAUGAAGGUCUUCGGAUCGUAAAACCCUGUUAUUAGGGAAGAA